Long non-coding RNA from Pyrus x bretschneideri (Chinese white pear), 1070 nucleotides. RefSeq lists it as uncharacterized. The record is from RefSeq and is a predicted model, not a curated record. The transcript has 2 exons. NCBI's taxonomy places the organism in Eukaryota, Viridiplantae, Streptophyta, Magnoliopsida, Rosales, Rosaceae.
AGCAAGGACACCUGCUCCUUAUGUCGGGGGGGUUGCAUAGCUCUGCAAGCAAUGCUUCCCCAUUUUGGCUGCACUUGGAACUUCACUCUAUACUGAUCAAAUCUGAAUGUGUUUCGUCUUACAGGUUGCUGAAGAGCUUGAUGAACUGCUCUCAUGUGUCAAGCUAGAAAAAGGAAAUACAGAGUUCUGGAAGCGUCGUUUCAUGGGAGUAGGCUUCGGUACUGAUCAAGAAAAGGCUGAAGAUGUUUCGGAUAGUGUCACCGUUGAUGUUGCAUAAGAUGUGGAAAAUGACGAAGCUGAAGCUGAUGAUGACGACGACGAAGAUGAUGAUGAUGAUGAUGAGGAUGAUGAUGAUGAUGAUGAGAAGUACCCACAAUUGCGGAUUGUGCCGUGAUUUUGCGUGCGGCAGUAACCAGGAAGGGCUCCUCUGCCGUCAGCUUUCUUGAAGAUCUUACAGACUACGCAUAGUCUUGGUUAUGUAUUCGGCAGUCCCCUUUACGAUGAAAUCAUCUCACUGUGUCUUGACCUCGGGGAGCUAGAUGCAGCCGUUGCAAUUGUUGCAGACAUGGUGACGACUGGAAUCACAGUCCCAUUCGAGACAUUGGACCGGGUGAUUUCUGCUAAGCGGACGACCUGAUUGUACUGUCAAAGGUAGUUGCAAUACAAGGGUUAGAAUUUGUUACAGUUCUCCCUUGCUGUGUAAUUAAACCUAAAUUUUGCCCACUUAGCAGUGUAAGUAAUUGACAGCGAGCCUUGGUGCAACGGAAAAGUUGCUGUUUUGCGACAGAAAAGUUACGAGUUAGAGUUGUGGAAACAAUCUCUUUAUAAAGUAAGAGUACGUAAGACAACAAGGGUACAACUACGUACGACAGAUAUUCCAUUUCCGACUCUCAAUAAGCAGGAAGCCUUGUUAGCUUGGGGUUUCCCUAUUUCAGUAAUGGUAGUAAUUAUUUUCUGUACUCAUUGACUGUUAGCUUAAAAGGCAGUCAAAUUCAGUUGUCUUGGUGCAUAAGACAUAUGAUUGAUGCUUGAUCUUAAAGCAAGCCAAUGAAAAUGUAACUUCAAAGAGA